Molecule: long non-coding RNA, 7378 nt
Filed under: Zea mays
Lineage: Eukaryota; Viridiplantae; Streptophyta; Magnoliopsida; Poales; Poaceae
Description: long non-coding RNA (ZMAY_LNC000708)
Source: RNAcentral
UAGCCUUUGUGGUCGCAUGCUGUGGAGAUAAGUUGUUGUGUUUGUACGCAGGUGUUAGGAGAUAUCGCACCGUCGCUCUCUCUGGACGAGCUACAAAACUAUGAACAGUUGAGGCAGAAGAUCGAAGGACCUUCUAGAUGAAGUUGGGUUUCCACUCCCUGCUGACAUUCUUAAACUGCUAACACACCAAAACAUUCCCUGUCUUACAUUUUCGUUCGUACACAAGUUUUCCUCCCUGAAAACUUGGGCACUUCUAUAUCCAUUCCUGAUUUAUACAAUCACAUCCUUGUAGCAGCAUCUGCAUUGACAUCAGAAUGACAUUUUCUCUGAAGAGAAACAUCCUGUCAUUCUUCGUUAGCAGCUCUGCAACUAUUUUGAAGCCUUUUUUUUGCAGAUGAUGCGAAUCAACUUUGUAUAGUUAGUUUCGUUGAUGUACGCCUGUACCAUGUUGUAGUAAAUGAUAAAGAGAAUAGGAGUCCUCGGAUCAUCUGCUCGUUUGAACCAUUCAGUCAUCAGCCAUCGAAAAUAGCUGUCUGCUAUAUUUUUUUUCGUCAGCGACGAUCUGUCAGGGUCAGGGACUUUUCAUUGCAACGAGUGGGACGAACUUGUCCACUGAAAAUGAUGAGGCCCGACCCGAAGGGACGCAUCAAAUCCGAAUGAGCCUGUGAAGUCAAGCACUCGAAGCCUUAUCUGGGAAACAAAAUGCUAUUCCUGAUCUGACGGAAGCAUCCACCAAUACAGCUAGUUUGGGUACACACGCUGAACCAGCUAGUUCGCCUGGGAGAGGUCUCUGUCUUGUUUACAUGCCAUCGUCUAGAAGUUGUCUCGGAAAAAUUUUAAGCGAAUGUUGCAAUGAACAGAGUUCCUUUUGUUGCUGUGAUUUGUCAUUGGUCGAAGAGGACUAACUGCAGCGUUUGUCUACCUACAAUACUUGUUUCUUUGUUGUUGCUGUCUUGUAGUGCCAGCAGCGAUGCCUCCUUGUUCGUGCUCGGCAAGUCGGCCGGUGUGAGCAAAAUCCGUACGUCAUCGUCUCCAGUGGUGCCAUUCUCCGUGGCUCUGCACACGGUCGGGGACUCGGCGGCCUUGCUGGAUCAUUUGUGCCGCCAAACGGUAUGUUUCAGACUUCCUUGAAGGCAUUGAAUUGUAUGAUUUCAGUCGUUGCCACGACAUAGUUUAAAUUAUAAUCAAAUACUUGUAGAGUUUGACACAGGAUCACGGUAAUCUAAAACAUGUAGCUUCUUGCGAGCGAUACUCACCUCAACAUGGCAGUGUUAAAUAGCAAACCACCAAAAUAUAAACGAUCAGCAUGAUAGACCAAUAGAGGUAGCAUGUAGGAAUGUGGCCCGGAGGGCCAAACACACACACAAGUAUAGAUGAAUUUGUUUUUUUAAUUUAGCUUAGUUUACUGUAUUUUAUAUACCAUAUUUCACCUCUAUUUUUUUUAACAUGCCCCUAAUAAUCAUGUUUUGGGAAAAACUUUUUAGCAUCUUUUUAGAGUUGCUCUUAAACUAUUUAUCUUGAAUGUCUUGGUUGGCUACUACACAUUUAAUUACCCGAAGACUGCACACUCUUCGUUGUGCACCAAGGUAUAUAUAUAAGCGAAAGGUAUAUAUAUAAGCGAAACCAUUUUUUUAUUAAGGAAAAUAUAGACGAAACCAAUGUAAAGGCUGCUAUUUAUUGUAUUAGUGACGUCUUUUCCAGCUCUGUUAAAGAAGCAACAUAUUAAAGACACAAUAAUUGAACAAACUUUCGCAACAGAUAGUCUCGAGAAAGUUUGCUGCGAUGUGGUACCAGAAUAUAGGUUUUGCCAAAACCAUCUGCCACUUGCCCACUUCCUCACCCAAAAUUCUACAGUGCUCAUUUUUUUUUCUCUCCCCCUUCUCAAGUUUUUCAUUCCUGGUUUGGAGGAUAUACAAUUAUACACAAAUUUACCAUUUCCAUUAGCAAAGAAAGACAUUGGGCUCAAGCCCAGCCCAAACCGAUGGGAUCGGUCGACACCAAUCGAGGCACGCUGUGCGUCCCGCCACUGCAGACCGCAGUCCUAGGGUCGAGGGCAUUUUCGUCCGACUCUGCCAAACCCUCACACUGACGACCACUUAUAAAUUCGCUCUCUAGGGUUUACCUGCUCCGCCUCCGCCCAGCCAGCGCCGCCGCCGCUGCCGCUAGCGCUCCCCUCAGGUAACCAAGAAGAAGAACGCCCUUUCCCCUCGUUUUGAGGUCGACUUCGCGUUGUUCGUCUGCUAUUUCAUCGCCCGAAUCUGUGCAACCCUCCAGAUUCUAGAAAUCGUCGUGUCCUGAUCCUGGAUCUAAUUGUUUUAUCGGAAAUGAUUGCUUCAGGUAAGGAAGGAGGCAGGCGAGGAUGUCGCACCGUAAAUUCGAGCACCCGAGGCACGGUUCCCUUGGCUUCCUCCCCAGGAAGCGAUCCUCUCCCGCCACCGCGGAAAGGGUACGUGUUGCAGCAUCGAUGCAUUCAACUAGUUGUUUCUUCUUUCGUCCAUCGAUUGCUGCUGCUGAUCUGCGUAGUAGUGAGCAACGGGCUGCACGUUCAUUGGUUGUGCAGUUUCUGCAAGAACUGCUUUAGUGGUCUUAGUAGCCCAUCUCGUACGUUUCCUGUGUGCUAGCACUAUUUGGAUUGUAACAAGAUUGGUAGUCUUUGGAGAUUUUUCUUGCAAAAACUGGCUGUCGUGCAGUUUUUGUAAGCAGCGCAAAUGCGUUCGUGACUAAAAUAUACCACUGGGCGUGUCUGGUACAGUGGUUGUGUGUGUGUGUGUGCUCCAAACGUUAAAAUUGCGGCAUCCCAAUGUUGAAUUACUAAAUUAUGAAGCUGUUCGUAAGUUAUUGUCAAGUCUUUCCAUCUUUAAGUAUACAUACAUAUAUUUUCAGUCUAGUGCAGUACUAGCUGUAUAUGUGCAACUCAAUGCACACUAACCCCGUCGUUUAUGUAUCUGAUGUACCUUUUUUUUGCUGCAGUGAAGUCCUUCCCGAGGGAUGACCCAAAGAAGCCCUGUCACCUCACCGCCUUCCUUGGCUACAAGGCUGGAAUGACACACAUUGUGGUGAGGUCGAGAAGCCUGGCUCCAGUAAGUUCAAUCAUCAUCAUAGGUCGCGGUUUUUACGUCACGUUCUCUAUGUAUGAGACAACUACUGUUGCUUUUGUGGCUAACAUAAAUAGUCAACAACGAGACUAAGGAUUGCUAUGGGUUGUGCAUGAGAGUAGUAACACUGUUGAUUUUGUGCAGAGCUCCACAAGAAGGAAACUUGUGAGGCUGUGACUAUCAUUGAGACUCCUCCCCUUGUCAUUGUCGGACUUGUGGAAUGUGAAGACCCCCCGUGGCCUACGAACCCUCAACUCUGUCUGGGCCCAACACCUUAGCGAAGAAGUGCGGAGAAGGUUCUACAAGAACUGGUGCAAGAGCAAGAAGAAGGCUUUCUCCAAGUAUGCCCUCAAAUACGACAGCGACGCAGGCAAGAAAGAAAUCCAGUUGCAGCUUGAGAAAGUAUGCUUCAGUUAUCCGUGUUAUUGCCCACACUCAGGUGAGGUUUGAAUUUACUUGUCAUUGUACGACAGUUUAGUUAUAAAUUGUGCUAUGCUCACAUGCUAUAUUCUUUAUCUGAUUUCAGAUUAGAAAGAUGAAGGGUUUGAAGCAGAAGAAGGCUCACCUCAUGGAGAUCCAGGUCAACGGUGGCACUAUAGCAGACAAGGUGGACUAUGGUUACAAGUUCUUUGAGGAGGUCCCUGUUGAUGCUGUGUUCCAGAAGGACGAGAUGAUCGACAUCAUCGGAGUUACCAAGGGCAAGGGUUAUGAAGGCGUGGUCACUCGCUGGGGUGUUACCCGGCUUCCCCGCAAGACCCACAGGGGCCUCCGCAAGGUUGCCUGUAUCGGUGCAUGGCAUCCUGCUAGGGUGUCGUACACUGUUGCUCGUGCUGGUCAGAACGGAUACCAUCACCGCACUGAGAUGAACAAGAAGGUUUACAAGAUUGGCAAGGCCGGACAGGAAAGCCAUGACGCCUCAACUGAGUUUGACAGGUAUCCUUGAUUCACUGCAGCAGUAACAUUGUUCACAAUCUUGAGUUUGCUCCUUCAGUUUCUGAAUGCUGGUUGUUUACAGGACCGAGAAGGACAUCACUCCCAUGGGUGGUUUCCCCCACUACGGUAUCAUCAAGGGCGACUACCUGAUGAUCAAGGGUUGCUGCGUCGGCCCCAAGAAAAGGGUGGUGACUCUCCGCCAGUCUCUGCUGAAGCAGACGUCUCGGUUGGCCCUGGAGGAGAUCAAGCUCAAGUUCAUCGACACCUCGUCCAAGUUUGGACAUGGGCGCUUCCAGACCACAGACGAGAAGCAGAGGUUCUUUGGCAAGCUCAAGGCCUGAGUUGCUGAUGGUGUCAAGCGAAAUGGAAAUGUAUUACCAGAUAGUUUUUUGUUUUUCAGAUUCAGCUUUGUUGGAGAUAUCAUAAGAACAUGUUUGAUUUGCUAGUCUGAGUUGAUUCUAUUGCGGGCGGCUGAAGUUAUAUUACCUAAUGAACUCGAAAGUCAGCUUGCUAGUUGCGUGACUUUACCUGCGCUAGCACUUGCCAAUUUUGAUGGAAUCUCAAAUCUUCCCGCACGCAAUAUGCUCUUGCUCAAUUCAGCCGUUUUUUUACUGUAAUCGUUGUCAGCACAUCUGUCUACAGUGAAUUAACGCUGUAAUUGUUCUGAAUUUUUAAAACAAUUAUCUUAUUAUUCCAUAAAAAGUGCAAAGUGCUUCAUGUAUGCUCCCUAUCGCACCUCCUUCCUAUUUUAAUUUUGCACGGCUACAUGAGCACGACCUUAUAAUAUGGCGCUGCGGCGUACGUGAGGAGUAACGUAUGGGUCAGUUGUAUAAAGGUUCUAACCUACACAGCAUGAGAAAAAUCUUAUCAUAAUUGUGGCUACAAACCAAUUAUACGUCUAAUCCGAUCAAAUCUGUCUAAUCUUAAACGUUGUGACAAGUGAGCCCGCGAACCAAACAAACCAGUUGGUUUGCGAUAAACUACUCGACAAACUUAAAAGAUCUCAAUACGAACAUCAAAAUAUGUACUUGACUUUCAUGUAUAAGAGACCGCAUCACGAUUUUCAUGUAUAAGAGACCACAUGAUAUAACUUUAAGCUCCAGAUCAGAAGAUAUAUAAAAAGAGUCGUGUGAGUCUUUUUUUUUCCUUUAGCACUUUAAAGACCUAUAAGUGAUCCUGUAUCAAAUGAGAUUGUACAUGUCUUCAUGAUUAGAGCAGCAGUAGCAAAUAAAUAUGCGCUUUUACUCCGCUAAGUGUUGAUGGUAGCUAGCAAAUGGAUUAAUUGUUGAUUAUUUGAAGCGGAGGUUGUAGAAUAGUGUGUGUCGUCCCGUCCCAUGUCGAAUCUGGCUAUGCCUGAACGUCUCGACCAAUAUACCAGCACUGUGUGUCUGAGUCUGCUGGUGGCGCAUCAAGCUGGCCGGCGGCCGGCCGGAGUCAGCUCGUCAAGUCAAGAACGGUUUUAAAAAGAAGAGAUAAUUAAGAAAUGCAUCAUCUCAUCCUACGUGACCCGCGAGCAUUCUGGGUUCAGAGUUGAUUGGGUAAUCCAAACCCUUGUGUAUAUGUGACAGGAUAAUCGGUGUGUGAACCAUCAAAACUCGGGCCGGGCUAACUGUAAGCAUAUUAGAAUGUUUUGUCAAGGUUCGUGCUUGUCGAUCGUAGAAACAGAAUGCUCAUUGAAUUUCUUAGUGUAUCUAGACUUUACUCGGGCCGGGCUAACUGACUUUACUCGCGAAAGCAGUAGCAACAGAAUGCUCAUUGAACUUUCUUAGCGUCAAAGGUCCAGAACUGAUAAACAUGUAUGUUGGAGAAUCAGAGAAAAAUGGUCGGGAUAUUUUUGAGAAGGUACAGAAUUUACACAGCCAUGUAAUUGUGUGAAACGUGCAUAAUUUUUUUUUUUUCAGUUUUCCACUGUCAAUCUCAGGCUAGGUCUGCACGCCCAUGUGUCAUUUUCUUUGAUGAGCUUGAUUCCCUCGCUCCUGCACGAGGAUCCUCAGCAGAUUCUGGCGGUGUCAUGGACAGGGUUGUUUCCCAGGUAUCAUUAGCUUCGUCCCUGAGGCGGUGUCACAACUUCUCACAAGUCUUCUGUUAAAUUACUGGGCCAGUGUCUUCUCACUUCCCCCCCUUUUCGUGUCUACUAGUUACUUGUGGAGAUCGAUGGGUUGAGUGACAACAGCCAGGUGUUUCCCUACUCCAUGUCAUACUUGUUUUUAAUUGCCAUUUCUUCGACGCUUGACAUGGAGACAAAAUUGAUUGUAGGACCUUUUCAUUAUUGGGGCUACCAAUAGGCCUGACCUUCUUGAUUCUGCCCUUCUUCGCCUUGGUCGGUUCGACAAGCUUCUUUAUGUCGGUGUAAAUACUGAGGCAUCAUACAGGGAAAGGUCAUUAUUUCGGUUUGCUGAUUCCAAAUUCACCGCAACUGUGAUCUUACUACGAUUUCUAUACAGGAUCCUUAAAGCACAGACGCGCAAGUAUAAGCUGCACAAGAACGUUUCUCUCUUGUCAGUUGCACAAGAAUGGUUUCAUGCAGCAAAGCGAUCAGUGAGUAUUUCUGCCGACCCGUUACGCCAUAUGUUGGGCUCUUCCUAGCUUUGCUCCGUUGAUCUUGCGUGUGGUAUUUUUUAGGUUGAAACAUUCGAAACCGAUCCUUCAAGAAGUAAUGACGCCAGUGCCGAAGAAGUCAUCGUCGAGAUCGACGAUUUUAUCACAGUAAAACUCUAAAUCACUUUGAGUAAGCACAGUAAUAGCCUUUGUGGUCGCAUGCUGCGGAAAUAAGUUGUUGUGUUUGUACGCAGGUGUUAGGAGAUAUCGCACCGUCGCUCUCUCUGGACGAGCUACAAAACUACGAACAGUUGAGGCAGAAGGUCGAAGGACCUUCUAGAUGAAGUUGGGUUUCCACUCCCUGCUGACAUUCUUAAACUGCUAACACACCAAAACAUUCCCUGUCUUACAUUUUCGUUUGUACACAAGUUUUCCUCCCUGAAAACUUGGGCACUUCUAUAUCCAUUCCUGAUUUAUACAAUCACAUCCUUGUAGCAGCAUCUGUAUUGACAUCAGAAUGACAUUUUCUCUGAAGAGAAACAUCCUGUCAUUCUUUGUUAGCAGCUCUGCAACUAUUCUGAAGCCUUUUUUUUUUUGCAGAUGAUGCGAAUCAACUUUGUAUAGUUAGUUUCGUCGAUGUACGCUUGUACCAUGUUGUAGUAAAUGAUAAAGAGAAUAGGAGUCCUUGGAUCAUCUGCUCGUUUGAACCAUUCAGUUAUCAGCCAUCGAAAAUAGCUGUCUGCUAUAUUUUUUUUCGUCAGCGACGAUCUGUCAGGAUCAGGGACUUUUCAUUGCAACGAGUGCUAGGUCAU